GUUUUAACAACGUGGUGGUGAGGACUGUGGGCAGAAGAGCAGCCUCCCCUGGAGAAGGCUGCAGAGAAGCAGAAUCAUUAGGAACACACCACGUGCCUAGCCAUGUGUUAACCACUUGAAUAACGACAGCGUUUGGCCCUGCUCUGAGGGUCCCUGGAACCUUUUUGAGCACCCAUCUGUGCUGCCAGACCUUGAAGGGUUUACUGUUUCUCUCUGCUCUGUUGGCUAAGCUCUGCUCACACAGGGAUAAUGAAGGUCUCAUUUGCCUCCGACAAUAUGGUGCCUUUCUGCAUAAUUUACAUGUUUUCUUCAAGGCUCAGACACUAAGUAAUGAGAUGGACCUCACAGUCUUGCAACUAACAUGGGAACCAGUAAUCUCAUGCCAGAGGAAGCACUCCUGA
RNAcentral lists this long non-coding RNA (401 nucleotides) under Rhinopithecus bieti (black snub-nosed monkey). RNAcentral's name for it is "lncRNA (ENSRBIG00000046105.1)". Lineage: Eukaryota; Metazoa; Chordata; Mammalia; Primates; Cercopithecidae. The record is from RNAcentral.